Molecule: long non-coding RNA, 286 nt
Filed under: Vulpes vulpes (red fox)
Lineage: Eukaryota; Metazoa; Chordata; Mammalia; Carnivora; Canidae
Description: lncRNA (ENSVVUG00000028785.1)
Source: RNAcentral
AUUUGGAAAAUGAAUACAUUGUUGCAAGAACUCACAUUGUUGGCCAUAAUGUUUGUGAUAAUGUUGUUGACUUACCAGAUGUCCUGGAAAUUCCUGGGGUGGAAGUAUUUCCAGGCGCUCCAAACUCCUCUGUGUCGCUGCAGAAUUGGAUGACAACCACGGUUAGAAAGUGUUCUCAAGACAACUGUGCCAAGUACUGAAAAACGGGACAAAACCCAAUGAAUAAGCAUUGCCAGCUUUGGAGAGACAGCAAUGGGCUGCAUUUCAUCAUAUGCAGGCCUCCUAC